UGUCAGCAGCUGCAAAACGAACCCGCCUCCCUUCCCGGUAUCCUCGCGGCCACCCCGCGGAAGGUGGCGCCGCGCCAGGCGGGCACCAGAACCGGCGCAGCCACGCCCUGCCGAGGGUGCAGACAACCAAGGAGACACCUCGCGCACAAUCAAGUCAAUGGCCGAGUGAUGGCUUGGGCUUCAGAGCAGGAAGAGUUUGAACCCAGCUCGAUUAAGUACUGGCUGACCUAGGGACACACACACUGAAGUGUUUCGGGGGAAAGAGCCCUCAUGUCUGCAACUUACAUUCAAAUGUCCUGCGAAGAAAAUGAAGAGAGAAAGGGGAAAGAGAAAAUAACAUACAAACGUGCUCAAGGUGAAUCCAGGAGGGUCGGCGGGAGGAUGGCUUCCUCCUUUUCUGAAGCCUCCAGCACCCCACAGUCCCUGACACACUGAGGUGCUCGGGCACAACUCCCAGGACGAAUCCUGCCCCUGGGGAACGUGAGUCUUCAGACCUUCCUGUCCUCCUCCCCUGACGCCCUCCAGUUUCCCGACAUUGCGCUUCAAACGUGUCACCCAGAACAGUGCCCACGGCUGCCCACAAAGGACUGGAGACGGCUCCAUCCCGAUGGGGACCAGGGACGCGGCGGCUUCCUCAUGUCCCAUGGAAUCCAAGCGCAGCCAACGCCUCCGCGUCUUUCCUCCUCCGCCCCCAGUUCUGGAGCGCCUGGGCAUCAGAUCGAGGAUUCCGUAUUUAAUCCUAUUCAGUUCCCUCUGUGUCUUUCAACCUCUUGUUCUACCUAGGCUGUCACCAUUUUUGAAUCCAGAUAAGUUAGAUUACACCCUAGUUUUGUUUUGUCUGAAAAUCUGGUCAUCUGCUUUCGUGGUCUUCACUUCAGUCCUUGAUGAAAAUGUUGCACACGACUUGGGCCAGGCCAGAGGCCGUGGCGCCUCUCCGGAGACUGACCUCCAGAUGGGCAUUGCUCACUCAUCGAGAGACUUUUGUCUUGUUUCUAGUAACUCUUUCUAGCUGCUACAACCUAAUUGUACUAUUUCCUAGGCUACUUUUUCCAUGUCUUCCAUGAGGUUAUCACAGAAAGUCAGAUGUUUUGAUGGAAUCAAGGUGUUCCAUAUCCACAGCAUUUCUAUGGCCUGACAACCCAACCCAAGAAGAAAGGACUCCCUUUGGCCUGCGUUGCUAAUAGUAAGCUUUUAAUUUUUUUAUGCUUGAAAAAAGGAUAGAAAGUAUUCAUUUUAUUAAAAUUCCAAAAUACAGAUAGAUGAAAAGGAAUUUUAAAGCACUCUAAGUCCCCCCCUGCAUAAACGAGCACUUUAAACAUUUUGGUAUAUAUUUCUACAAGUUUCUAAAAACAUCUAAUAAAUAAACAAAAACAUCUAAAAGCGCAUAUGCCAAAAACCUCAUAACAAUGCAACCAGAUCUAAAUACUCUUUUGUCAUCUGCUUUUUUCACUCACUAAUAUUUCGUGAAUAUCUUCACAUAUGAAUAAAAGUACCACGACAUAAACUAUUUUUAUGGGCUGUGUAGUAUUCCAUUAUAAGGACAUAGACUAUUCAACAGAUCCCACAUAACUGGAUUCAGUUUUUUUGCCUUUAUAAACAUUGUUGUAUUUACCCGUUAUGAACACAUCCGACAGCUUCCCUGAAAUUACUUCCAAUGUUAGAGUCUGUCUUUUCUGAGUAGCCCUGGAUCCCCAGACUUCUUUAUCUCUACUUCUCUGGUAAACAUAUUUUCCAUUACAAUCAUUAUAUACUGUCAUCUCCCUGCUUGUAGUUGCUAAGCUCCUUUAGGGAACCGUCCACCCCAAUUCAAGAUUUCACCCCUAAUGCCUAACACAGUCGCUUGCACCGAGAGAUACUCCGUAAGCGUUUGUUGACGAAGGGCAUGAAUAAAGGAAUUUGUUUAAUGAUUCA
This is a non-coding RNA of Equus caballus (horse), 1911 nucleotides long. The record is from RefSeq and is a predicted model, not a curated record. NCBI's taxonomy places the organism in Eukaryota, Metazoa, Chordata, Mammalia, Perissodactyla, Equidae.